GCCCAAUCCUACCCCGCUCUCCUCUCUCCCUACGCCCCUACCUUCCUCCCUCCUUGAUGGAGCCCGAAACUCUAGCUCAUCUGUUCCAUGGUUCCGGCCAUGGAUGGGGAGACCACGGACGCGGCAGCCGCCGUCCCACCCCGCACCUAUUCCGGCGAUGACGAUGCUGAAUCCGCAUCAGCAGCAGCCGAUCUGCACCCAACAACGACGGCUGCAGCUCGAUGGAGGAUGUAGGCUAGCCGCAUCGCUGGGUCCAACCAGGGCGUGGCACACCUGGAACCUCGCUGCCGCGGUGGUGCAGAACCAGCGCCGUGGCGGGCAACAACAGCAGCGAGUUCCAGCCUCCAUCUCACCUUCCCCGCCCCCAUCGCUGCUUAAGAUACUCACUUGUUCCCCUAUCCCUCAUGCUCCGCAAAUCCCCGAUGGCAUAUGAGAAGGGAGGAUAAAGAGACAGGGGAGCUCUCGGGGAGAUGACUGCUAAAUCGCAGCUACCACAAAAAACACAGGCCAACACCUCGGACAUAACCCAUGCACCGGCCACCGUGAUUUCGCAUAUGGCAUGUUCUAAUCACUAGAGUGAAAGGCGAGCUCCAGACUUGGUAGAUGAUGUGAGGGAUGGUGUAUACUGCAACACAUUGUAGAGCUUACCAUAUCCACUAAGUCUGUAUUUACUACCAAGUGCAGGCAGAGUGAAGAACUACAAUCUGAAGAAAGCAAGCAUCAACAAGGCUGAUACUGCUACUCUAUUUGAUCAUCCACUUUGCCGCAGUUUGGGCUAAGCAAGGUGGUUGGACACUAGGGGAGCAGUAUUCCAAGAAAUUGAUUUCUUCGUCUGAUUUAGGGUGGUCUUCAGAAUCUGACAAGAAAUUGAUGUUUACAACACAAGAUUCCUGACCAGAAGGGGAACAAGGCAGCAAUCACCAAGUAAGUUUUGCUCUGACUUUCUUUUGCAGAGUUAAUUGGUCUUAAACUUAAUUUCCAGGG
Triticum dicoccoides is the source of this 984-nucleotide long non-coding RNA. RefSeq lists it as uncharacterized. The record is from RefSeq and is a predicted model, not a curated record. Lineage: Eukaryota; Viridiplantae; Streptophyta; Magnoliopsida; Poales; Poaceae. The transcript has 3 exons.